AUUGUUGUUGAUAUAUAUUUCCAGGUCAAGAAAGUGGAUUUGGGUAUGACUGUAAUCACUUGUUAAGGUGAUACCUCUCUGAUUAGAGUUGAGAAAUCAUAGAAAUUCUUUGAUAUUCUUCACCCCCCCUCCAAAUAAAAAAAAAGUAAUCAAUGUAUCUGCGAUAGAGAACCAAGUUCGCACUCCAGGCCCCAUCCAUGCCCAAGAAGGAUUGCUCCUAAAAAGACAUGAACAGGUUGGCAUAGCUGGGUGCAAACUUGGUUCCCAUCGCAUUACCCACAAGCUACCCAUGACUGGAAAAUAAUUAUUUUCCCAAAAAUGUCUAACUGCCUCACAACCUAGUGAGUGAGAAAUAAUAGUAUACAGACUGGUGACAUCACAUGUCACCAGAAUGUAUUCACUCGACCAUACAAUAUUCUGGAGUUCCAAAAAAAGCUGAGUGGAAUCUCUCAAAUAAGUGGGUUGCGAUGUAACAAUGGUUGGAGGAGUUUGUCAAUGUACUCGGAGAGACGACUCAAAAGUGAGCCUACUCCCGAGACAAUCGGUCUCCCUAGUGGAAUAGUGGGGUGUUUAUGAAUCUUUGGGAUGGUAUACAGCACUGGAAUUUUUCAGGUUUGGAUAUUCAAAUAUUUGUACUCCUGGGUGUUAAGAAUACCAGCAUUUUUUCCUUGUUCCAAUAAUUCAUAAUAUAGUAUUUUGAUUUGGACUGUAGGGUCACCCGUAAGUUUUUUUAUAGGUGAUACAAUCAUUUAGUUGUCAAUAAAUUUAUUUUUCAUAUUGAUCUCUAUUUUGUAGCACAACUCCCCCCCUACCCCCCUUAUCGGCUGGUUUUAUGAUAAGUUGAGGAUUUUUAGUAAGUUGUUGUAACGCUUUCCUUUGAUUAUAAUUUAAAUUGAAUUGAUUAGGUCUUCCUUUCCUAGUAUAGGUGAUUCUUUUUAACCUCAUCUAUGACUAGAGUCUCAAAGACUUGCAUAGCCCCGCUUUUACACUGUUGUGGAAAAAAGCUAGAUCUUUCUUUGAGUUCUGUAUUUACAGAUUCUGUUUGAACAGCUGGAUUAGUGGGUAAUUGAUUUUUAUACACAAAUUACGAGUAACUUUGUGUAGAUCAAUGAAUGUGUUGAAAGGUUGGUUAAAGCAUGUAGGGGCAAACUUAAGUCCCUUAUUUAGGAUUUGAACGUGUUCCUUUGUGAGAGUAACAUCAGAUAAAUUGAAAAUUCCUAUUGGGGCAACCUCCUUCUUUUUCUUUCUGUUGCAUGGUAUUCCUGCUCUUACUCCCCUUCCUCUAGUUCCAAAUUUAUUUUUCCCAAUCUCCUCCGAAAUUGGUUGGGAUUGCCAAGUUCUAAAAAAGGAGGGGAUGGAGGGGCAGGGUCCCGCUUAUUAUGUUAUGUAUUCUCUAUUUCCCUUCUCUGGGUCGGCGAUAAUGAUUGUUACGUGGUGGGGUAUCUGUUAAUUUAUUCUUAUAUGCAUUAGAUAACCUAUGGUCGUCCAUUUUUUGUUUACCAUUAUAUCCUGUUUGGGAUCUGGAUGUUCUUGAGUUAUACUGGGAGCUAUCAUGGUUAACUCGUUGACGAUAGUGAGAAUGGUCAUAAUGAUCUCUUUGACAAGAGUGAGUAGGGUUAUAGUAGGAUGUGCCCCUAUUAUACGAAUUGAUGGCACCAUUAUAGUAUCUCUUAGGGUAUGUAGAGAUAUCUUCUCUAUUUUUAUUUUUGCUUGAGAAGGUUCUGACUUGGUUGGUAGCAUAAUCAUGUUUAUCUCCGAAAGAAAAUCUGAAAGAUUGUCUGUAUCAUGAAAUGCUGCCUUCAUGAAUCAGUCCAAUCCCUGUCAUAGAGCAAUAAUGGGUAAAAUAAUAUCUGACCGAUAUUGAUUCUAUUCCUGGCUGUGUUUACAGUGAAUAAUGUAUUUAUAUAGUAUAGGAACAUGCAUUGGAUGGCUUAUUAAAUUGCAGAUUCUAAAGACUAUAAAAAACAUAAGGCAAUAGAGUAUUUAACUAUGUGCAUUUUGGGGAUUAAACAAUAAUUAGACAUAUAGCAUUUCUAUGGUGUAAAGUUGUAUGAUUGUUAAAUAAUAAAUAAACAGUGUCUAAAU
Molecule: non-coding RNA, 2085 nt
Organism: Pelobates cultripes (western spadefoot toad)
Lineage: Eukaryota; Metazoa; Chordata; Amphibia; Anura; Pelobatidae
Source: the annotation of a GenBank genome assembly